RNAcentral lists this ribosomal RNA (1625 nucleotides) under human gut metagenome. Its description in RNAcentral is "bacterial LSU rRNA". It matches the Rfam family "Bacterial large subunit ribosomal RNA", at positions 1287 to 2925 of the family's 2925-position model. The record is from RNAcentral.
AGUGAGAAUGUUGGCAUGAGUAGCGAGAUGUGGGUGAGAAUCCCACAGGCCGUAAACCCAAGGUUUCCAGGGGAAGGUUCGUCCGCCCUGGGUUAGUCGGGACCUAAGCUGAGGCCGAAAGGCGUAGGUGAUGGACAACAGGUUGAUAUUCCUGUACUACCGAUAACCGUUUGAGAGAAGGGAUGACACAGUAGGAUAAGCUAAGCACACUGUUGGUUAUGUGUGCCCAAGCAUUGAGGCAGUCAAAGUAGGCAAAUCCGCUUUGAUAAUGCUGGGAUGUGAUGGGGAGCGAAAUUUAGUAGCGAAGUAGCUGAUUUCACACUGUCAAGAAAAGUCUCUAUCGAGGUUAAAGGUACCCGUACCGCAAACCGACACAGGUGGGUGAGGAGAGUAUCCUAAGGCCAGCGAGAGAACUGUUGUUAAGGAACUCGGCAAAAUGACCCCGUAACUUAGGGAUAAGGGGUGCCACCAUCAGGUGGCCGCAGAGAAUAGGCCCAAGCGACUGUUUACCAAAAACAUAGGUUUCUGCUAAGUCGCAAGACGAUGUAUAGGAGCUGACGCCUGCCCGGUGCUGGAAGGUUAAGGGGAUCUGUUAGAGCAAUCGAAGCAGUGAACUUAAGCCCCAGUAAACGGCGGCCGUAACUAUAACGGUCCUAAGGUAGCGAAAUUCCUUGUCGGGUAAGUUCCGACCCGCACGAAAGGCGUAACGAUUUGGGCACUGUCUCAACAACAGACUCGGUGAAAUUGUAAUUCCGGUGAAGAUGCCGGAUACCUGCGACAGGACGGAAAGACCCCAUGGAGCUUUACUGUAGCUUGACAUUGGGUCUUGGUACUACAUGUACAGGAUAGGUGGGAGGCUUUGAAACCAGGACGCCAGUUUUGGCGGAGCCAUCCUUGGGAUACCACCCUUGUAGUACUGGGACUCUAACCAUAGGCCAUGAAUCUGGUCUUGGGACACUGUCAGGUGGGCAGUUUGACUGGGGCGGUCGCCUCCCAAAAGGUAACGGAGGCGCUCAAAGGUUCUCUCAGUACGGUCGGAAAUCGUACGUAGAGUGUAAAGGCAAAAGAGAGCUUGAUUGCAAGACAUACAGGUCGAGCAAGGAUGAAAAUCGGACUUAGUGAUCCGGUGGUUCUGCGUGGAAGGGCCAUCGCUCAACGGAUAAAAGCUACCCUGGGGAUAACAGGCUUAUCUCCCCCAAGAGUCCACAUCGACGGGGAGGUUUGGCACCUCGAUGUCGGCUCAUCACAUCCUGGGGCUGUAGUAGGUCCCAAGGGUUGGGCUGUUCGCCCAUUAAAGUGGUACGCGAGCUGGGUUCAGAACGUCGUGAGACAGUUCGGUCCCUAUCCGUCGCAGGCGUAGGAAAUUUGAGAAGACCUGUCCUUAGUACGAGAGGACCGGGAUGGACGUACCUCUGGUGUACCAGUUGUCCUGCCAAGGGCAUGGCUGGGUAGCUAUGUACGGAAUGGAUAAGCGCUGAAAGCAUCUAAGCGCGAAGCCAACUUCAAGAUAAGAUUUCCCACCGCAAGGGUAAGACCCCAGAAAGACUAUCUGGUUGAUAGGUCGAAGGUGUAAGUGCAGCAAUGUAUUUAGCUUAUCGAUACUAAUAGGUCGAGGACUUGACCAA